RNAcentral lists this non-coding RNA (25 nucleotides) under Rattus norvegicus (Norway rat). Lineage: Eukaryota; Metazoa; Chordata; Mammalia; Rodentia; Muridae. The record is from RNAcentral.
UGGGGACUUAGAGAAGUGUCCUUUU